CAGUCGCCGCGGUAAAACGAAGGUCCCAAGCGUUGUUCGGAAUCACUGGGCGUAAAGGGAGCGUAGGCGGCGUGGUAAGUCAGAUGUGAAAUCCCGGGGCUCAACCCCGGAACUGCAUUUGAUACUGCCAUGCUUGAGGGUUGGAGAGGUGAGUGGAAUUUCCGGUGUAGCGGUGAAAUGCGUAGAUAUCGGAAGGAACACCUGUGGCGAAAGCGGCUCACUGGACAAUAACUGACGCUGAUGCACGAAAGCUAGGGGAGCAAACAGGAUUAGAUACCCGCGUAGUCCCUGUCUCUUAUAC
Molecule: ribosomal RNA, 301 nt
Filed under: uncultured bacterium
Lineage: Bacteria
Description: partial 16S ribosomal RNA
Rfam family: Bacterial small subunit ribosomal RNA
Source: RNAcentral